This is a long non-coding RNA of Heterocephalus glaber (naked mole-rat), 1298 nucleotides long. The record is from Ensembl. NCBI's taxonomy places the organism in Eukaryota, Metazoa, Chordata, Mammalia, Rodentia, Bathyergidae.
UGAAAGCCUGCCACCGCCCCGUUGACGCCACUAGGGAAGCGAGAGGACCUGGAACCCGGAUAGAGCGGGCGCCAUGUUAAGUGUGGGGGCCCAUGAUGAUUCUGAGUUUUACUCAUAGCUCCCGCCAGCCCUGCUGGCCUGUGGGGAAACUUUUCUAACUUUUGCAGGAAAGAACAAAUAUAUCUUUGAGCUAAUUUUUAAUUGAGCAGUUUCGUGUCACUUCCGCCCAAAACAAAAAUGUCCUCCGGUAGCCUCAAACCAGCGCUGUAGUAAAGGGGGCAGAGGAAAAGGAAGACGGCGAUUGGUGAGAACUCGGUGAGCGACGGCCCGCAUGCCGCACCCUCAUUGGCUGCGCUGCGUGAGCCCAAAUCGUGUGCCUCCAGAGCUGCAGCUGUCUGUCGGAGACCUUGAUUGGCGAGUGGAGCCCUUCGGUGAAAAGUGAAACUGGGGAUAUUAACUGAUUAUUUCUAGUGGUAAUGGCGCCUGCUUUAUUGGCUGUAACUAUCCGGCCAUAGGGGAGCACAGCUGUAAUACUAGCUACCUGGAGGGAGAGAAAGGACGAUCGCGAGUUCGAAGCCAGCCUGGGCGACUUCGAGUUUGCCUCCAAUUUUUAAAGAAGAGCUCAGCGACGAGGCGCUUGCCUAGCAUGCGCGAGGCUCUUCGGUUCAACCUCAGUAGCAGGAAAAAUAAUAAAAAGAAGAGAAAGAGACGGACCAUAGGCUCACACUUGUAAUUUCAGCCCUCUAGAAACUGAGGCAGAAGGAUUGCAGAUUCGACCCCAGCCUGGGCAAUUCAGUGAGAUCUUGUCUUAAAAUAAAAAUUUUAAAAGGCGGGGGGCACCCUGAAGAUGUACUAAGGCUCUGGGUUCAACCCUGAGUGCAGUCCAAACAGACAGACACACACACACAUACACAUUUGCAGCACACAAACUAAACAGUAUUUUCCCUACUGUCAUCUUCAAGAUCCGUAGUCGUCAUUGUUACAACCAGCGAGAAAGAACCAACCAGAGACCGAUAUUAAAUCCACACAGGAGUUUAUUACUGGCCGGGACCUGAGCCGAGCAUCAGAGCCCGGAGUGGAGGGAGACAAACAUGUUUUACACACCUUUGAGGCCAGCAGUUUCUAGGCCCCGCUAUGGGAUAGAACUAGUAAAGCAAGCAAAAGUGUCCAGAUGUGGCCGGGCCCCUGGGUGGACUCUCCUUAUCUUCCCAGCCCGGUGGUCCAGACUCUGCACUUCAUUUCCCCAAGAGAGAACAACUAAAGCAGAAGGAGAAGCUAAAAAGUUAACUCGGAACAGC